AAUUAUCAACUUCUGAAACUUUUGUGACAGAAGCUUGGACUUGGAGGUCGUGUCGGCUUGCAAAAGUCGACUCCUCUGAAAUGCAUUAGCGUGAACCUUACGGAUCGCCUUCAGUGUGAUAAUUAUCUGCGCUGUGGUGUGAAGUAUCUUAUGUUCUUGCUUCUAACCGUCCGCAAGGACACUUACUUGACA
RNAcentral lists this unclassified non-coding RNA (192 nucleotides) under uncultured Phanerochaete. RNAcentral's name for it is "sequence contains ITS2". Lineage: Eukaryota; Fungi; Basidiomycota; Agaricomycetes; Corticiales; Corticiaceae. The record is from RNAcentral.